RNAcentral lists this ribosomal RNA (1234 nucleotides) under metagenome. RNAcentral describes it as "bacterial LSU rRNA". It matches the Rfam family "Bacterial large subunit ribosomal RNA", at positions 1564 to 2808 of the family's 2925-position model. The record is from RNAcentral.
UGAAUACGAGACGCUAAGGCGUCGAAGUAGUGUAUGUCAUACUUCCAAGAAAAGCUUGCACUGUCAUAGAUAAAAAACGCCUGUACCAUAACCGACACAGGUGGGUAGGUAGAGUAUACUAAGGGGCGCGAGAUAACUCUCUCUAAGGAACUCGGCAAAAUAACUCCGUAACUUCGGGAGAAGGAGUGCCUUAUUCGUAAGGUUGCAAUAACAAGAUCCAAGCAACUGUUUAUCAAAAACACAGGUCUCCGCUAAGUCGUAAGACGAUGUAUGGGGGCUGACGCCUGCCCAGUGCCAGAAGGUUAAAGAAGUUGGUUAGCAAUUGCGAAGCUGAUAACUGAAGCCCUGGUGAACGGCGGCCGUAACGAUAACGGUCCUAAGGUAGCGAAAUUCCUUGUCGGGUAAGUUCCGACCCGCACGAAAGGCGUAAUGAUUUGGAUACUGUCUCGGAGAGGGGCUCGGUGAAAUAGACUUGUCUGUGAAGAUGCGGACUACCUGCACCAGGACAGAAAGACCCUAUGAAGCUUUACUGUAACUUGAAAUUGAAAUUGGACUUUAUUCGCGCAGUAUAGGUGGGAGGCGUUGAUUAUAAUCUUGUGGGAUUAUUGGAGCCAUCAGUGAGAUACCACUCUUGUAAUGUUAGAUUUCUAACUUUGAAUCAUUAUCUGGUCAAAGAACAGUUUCAGGCGGGCAGUUUGACUGGGGCGGUCGCCUCCUAAACGGUAACGGAGGCGUACAAAGGUUUCCUCUGAACGGUUAGAAAUCGUAUCUAGAGUGUAAAGGCAUAAGGAAGCUUGACUGUGAGACCUACAAGUCGAGCAGGGACGAAAGUCGGUCUUAGUGAUCUGACGGUACUGAGUGGAAAGGCCGUCACUCAACGGAUAAAAGUUACUCUAGGAUAACAGGCUGAUCUCCCCCAAGAGUUCACAUCGACGGGGAGGUUUGGCACCUCGAUGUCGGCUCAUCGCAUCCUGGGGCGGUAGUACGUCCCAAGGGUUGGGCCGUUCGCCCAUGAAAGCGGUACGCGAGCUGGGUUCAGAACGUCGUGAGACAGUUCGGUCCAUAUCCGGUGUAGGCGUUAGAAUAUUGAGAGGAGCCUUCUUUAGUACGAGAGGACCGAGAAGGACAUACCUCUGGUGUACCAGUUAUCGUGCCAACGGUAAACGCUGGGUAGCUAUGUAUGGAGUGGAUAACCGCUGAAAGCAUCUAAGUGGGAAGCCCACCUCAAGAUAAG